ACUCUCGGUAAUGGAUAUCUCAGCUCUCGCAUCGAUGAAGAAUGUAACGAAAUACAAUACUUGUUGUGAAUUGCAGAAUCCCGUGAACCAUCGAGUCUUUGAACGUAAGUUGUACCCGAAGCCAUUAGGUUGAGGGCACGCCUACCUGGGUGUCAUGCACCAUCGUCCCCCUUCGACCUUCUACCGGUCGGGCUCCGGGGGAAGGGGGCGGGCAGAAGAUGGCCUCCCGCGAUCCCGUCGAUCGCGGUUGGCCCAAAAGUGAGUCCUUGGCAAUGACAGCGCCGUGACCGUCGGUGGUAGAGCUCCCGACGCGCCUCAUCCCUAGUGAUGUGCUUUUGUUGUCCACCUGGACCUCGUCGGACCCCCCGUAUCGCUUGGUCGAUGCUCGCGUCAUGACCCCAGGUCGACGGGAUCACUCGUUGAGUUUAAGCAUAUCAAUAAGCAGAGGGAAAGAAACUUACCAGGAUUUCCCUAGUAACGGUGAGUGAACCGAGAAGAGCCCAGCUUGAGAAUCGGGUGCCUCCGACAUUCGAAUUAUAGUUUGGAGAAGCGUCCUCAGCGACGGAUCGGGCCCAAGUCCCCUAGAAAGGGGCACCGUAGAGGGGGAGAGCCCCGAUGUGCCUGGACCCUAUCGCACCACGAGGCACUGUUCAUGAGUCAGGUUGUUUGGGAAUACAGCCCCAAUCGGGUGGUAAAUUCCAUCCAAGGCUGAAUACGGGUGAGAAACCGAUAGCGAACAAGUACCACGAGGGAAAGAUGAAAAGGACUUUGAAAAGAGAGUCAAAUAGUGCUUGAAAUUGUUAGGAGAAAAGUGGAUGGGGGUCGACGAUGCGCCCCAGUCUGAUGUGGAACGGUGAGAGCCGAUCCAUCGAUCGGCUCGGGGCAUGGACCGACGCGGGUCAUGGCGAUGGCCUAAGCCCGAGCUUUCGACGUGCCCACGGAGAUGUCAUCGUCGUGAUCAUGGAAUGCAGCACAUGUCGUCUCGGCAUGCCUCGGCACCCGCGUGCUCCUAGCAUUAGCCUACGGGCUCCCCAUCUAGCCCAUCUUGAAACACGACCAAAGAGUCUGACAUGCAUGCGAGUCAACGGGCCAAAAAACCCGUAAGGCACAAGAAAGCUGAUUGGUGAGAUCCCUUACGGGUGCACCGUCAAUCGACUUUGAUCUUUUGAGAAGGGUUUGAGUGCGAGCAUGCCCGUCGGGACCCGAAAGAUGGUGAACUAUGCCUGAGUGGGGCAAAGCCAGAGGAAACUCUGAUGAAGGCCCGUAGCGAUACUGACGUGCAAAUCAUUCGUUUAACUUGGGUAUAGGGGCGAAAGACUAAUCGAAUCGUCUACUAGCUGGUUCCCUCCGAAGUUUCCCUCAGGAUAGUUGGAGCCCCCGUCGAGUUCUAUCGGGUAAAGGUAAUGAUUAGAGGCAUCGAGGGCAUAACGCCCUCGACCUAUUCUCAAACUUUAAAUAGGUAGGACAGCGCGGCUACUUCGUUGAGUAGUGCCAGGGAAUCGAGAGCUCCAAGUGGGCCAUUUUUGGUAAGCAGAACUGGCGAUGUGGGAUGAACUAGAAGCUGGGUUAUAGUGCCUAACUGCGUGCUAACCCAGAACCCACAAAGGAUGUUGGUCGAUUAAGAUAGCAGGAUGGUGGUCAUGGAAGUCAAAAUCCACUAAGGAAUGUGUAACAAGUCACCUACUGAAUCAACGAGCCCCGAAAAUGGAUGGCGCUUAAGCGCGUGACCUAUACUCGAUCGUCAGGGCAAGGGCCAGGCUCCGAUCAGUAGAAGGGUGUGAUGGUGACCACAAAACUUGGGGCACGAGCCCGGGCAAAGCGACCAUCGGUGCAGAUCUUGAUGGUAGUAGCAAAUAUUCAAAUGAGAACUUUGAAGGUCGAAGAGGGGAAAGGUUCCAUGUGAACGGCACUUGCACAUGGGUUAGUCGAUCCUAAGAGACGGGGAAGCCCAUCUGACAGUGCAUCCCACACGAGUUUCGAAACAGAAUCAGGUUAAAAUUCUUGAACAGGGAUACGGUGGCUAACGGCAACGUUAGGGAGUCCGGAAACGGCAACGUUAGGGAGUUCGGAGACGUCAAUGGAGGCCUCAAAAAGAGUUAUCUUUUCUAUUUAACGGCCUGUCUACCCUAGAAACGACUCACUCGAAAGUAGGGUCCAGCGGCCAGAAGAGCACCAUACGUCACGUGGUGUCUGAUGUGCCUCCGGUGGCCCUUAAAAAUUUGAAAGACCGAGUGCCGUCUGCCCGAUCGUACUUAUAACCGUAUCAGGUCUCCAAGGUAAACAACCUCUGGUCGAGGAACAAUGUAGGCAAGGCAAGUCGGUAAAAUGGAUCUGUAACCUUGAGAAAAAGAUUGGCUCUGAAGGCUGGGUACGGGGGUCCCAGUCCUGAACCCGUCGGUUGCUGGCGCACUGCUAGAGCUAUUCCCGUGGCGAGAACUGGUCAUCGCAUGUCGACUGUGGGACGGACUGAGAACGGCUCCCUCGGGGGCUUUCCCCAGGCAUCGAACAGUCGACUCAGAACUAGUAUAAACAAGGGGAAUCUGACUGUUUAAUUAAAACAAAGCAUUGAGAUGGUCCCUGUGGAUGCUUAUGCAAUGUGAUUUUUGCCCAGUGCUCUGAAUGUCAAAGUGAAGAAAUUCAACUAAGCACAGGUAAACGGCGGGAGUAGCUAUGACUCUCUUAAGGUAGCCAAAUGGCUCGUCAUCUAAUUAGUGAUGCGCAUGAAUGGAUUAACGAGAUUCCCACUGUCCCUGUCUACUAUCCAGUGAAACCACAGCCAACAGAACGGGCUUGGCAGAAUCAGCGGGGAAAGAAGACCCUGUUGAGCUUGACUCUAAUCUGACUUGGUGAAAUGACUUGAGGCAAUAACAGGUUUGUGAUGCCCUUAGAUGUUCUUGGCCGCACGCGCGCUACACUGAUGUAUUCAACGAGUCCAUAGCCUUGGCUAAUAGGCCCGGGUAAUCUUUGAAAUUUCAUCAUGAUGGGGAUAGAUCAUUGCAAUUGUUGGUCUUCAACGAGGAAUUCCUAGUAAGCGCGAGUCAUCAGCUCGCAUUGACUACGUCCCUGCCUUUGUACACAUCGCCCGUCGCUUCUACCGAUUGAAUGGUCUAGUGAAGUUUUCAGAUCGCGAUGAUGUGGAUGGUUCACCGCCCAUGACGUCGUGAGAAGUCCACUGAACCUUAUCAUUUAGAGGAAGGAGAAGUCGUAACAAGGUUUUCAUAGGUGAACUUGCGGAAGGAUGACCCAUGGAUGAUCCACUCGACGGACGACCCACAGACUCAUUAACGAAACAUCGAGGGGGCAAGGGUGCCCCUAUGCCUCGAGCCCCUUUCGACCCCAGGCGGGCGUGACGGUAGAUUCAUCCCACCUACGGGGCGGGCAAAACGAUAGGUGUCAGCUCGUUCGUUGU
Molecule: ribosomal RNA, 3409 nt
Filed under: Durio zibethinus
Lineage: Eukaryota; Viridiplantae; Streptophyta; Magnoliopsida; Malvales; Malvaceae
Description: eukaryotic LSU rRNA
Rfam family: Eukaryotic large subunit ribosomal RNA (bases 394-3409)
Source: RNAcentral